Molecule: non-coding RNA, 1147 nt
Organism: Cyanistes caeruleus (blue tit)
Lineage: Eukaryota; Metazoa; Chordata; Aves; Passeriformes; Paridae
Source: RefSeq, a predicted model, not a curated record
CGAGGAAAUUAUUAGGGAACAAUACACGGAAACCCACGGCAGAGCUGAGGCUCUGCAGGGCCAGGUGGGUGGGGCGGGGGUUUGUGUCCCCCCGGGCCCCGCGGUGAGACUUUCUCUCGGUGGGCGAAACUCCGUGGUGAGACCGGAGGGUUCUUGAGGCCGGUGGUGGGACACAGAACAAAUGAUGCCCAGCCUGGCAACAGUCCUUUAAACUCCUGGGAUUUCUUGAUGUUCAAAAUGUCCCAUGUGCACGAGAAUCAGUGCUCUAUGGUUCCCUGGGGUCUUUAGUUAUGGGUCUUGGACAUUUUUUAGCAACUAGUAGAGUUAGAAGAUCUUGUGAUGUUGCAGUUGGUGGCUUUAUUUGCACAAUGUUAGGAUACUGGUUUUACUGCAGGUACAACCUGGCCAAGCAAAGGAUCCGGCAAAGAAUGCUUAAAGAAGGAAUGAGAAACAGAGUUUUAUUUGAAGGCAGUUAUCUUGAUCCAGAAAAGGAAAAAACGGGCGGUGAAAGAAGCGAUUCAUAGGUUGCUCUGGAGGAGUUGUGGUUUAAUACAUCUUUGGGAAAAGGCAGUCCAUAAACAAGUCAAUCUACACUGCAAGCCUGUGAGGUGUCUAAAGCUGGUAAACAGUGGUUAUCCUAGCAAAUCUGAGCAGGAAAUUCAUAGUGAAUCUGUUAAAUCUGCACAAGCCUUGCUUUGUUUCAUGUAUGUAUGUAUGUGACUGCACACAUUUAGAAUGAUGUUAAACAUCUGGGAGCUCAUGUGUUCUCUUGCAGGUCUCAGAGGAUUAGUGAGACAGUGAUUUGGGAGUGCUUUAACUUCCAUUAUAAACAGAGUGUGGUUUGCUUUAGCAAAGUUGUAAUUACAUCUCAUUUAAAUACAGGAAAAUAUUUCUAUCACCUGUUGAUGUGUAUCAACAAAUGUAUCCUUCAGGGCUAUUAUUAACAGUGCUGUUUGUAAAACAGGAAUAUUUAAACAAUAGAAGAAGGCUUUGCUUGUGCAAGAUGGGUUAUAUCAGCAGCCUUUGUAAGAUUUCAGCUGCAGGAUAACCAGAUAAUUUACACACACUGUGAAGCUGAAGGAUUUCCAUCUUUGUUCUGUCUGUUUGAAACUAUGAAUAAAAUCACACUUCAGAGCAGUCUAAACUA